Long non-coding RNA from Hemicordylus capensis (graceful crag lizard), 1758 nucleotides. RefSeq lists it as uncharacterized. The record is from RefSeq and is a predicted model, not a curated record. NCBI's taxonomy places the organism in Eukaryota, Metazoa, Chordata, Lepidosauria, Squamata, Cordylidae. The transcript has 6 exons.
AUAAAAGAUCUUUGAACUUCUCUGCUCACUUAUAUGUGUUUGUGUGUUCAUUAUUGCUUCGCCUGUCCCUACCCGCAAACACUGAAGAUAUUUUAAUAGGAAAUCUUUUCUGGUUUGUUUGUUUACUCUUCAGAGCAGAGGUAUAUCCUCAACAAUAUGACCCUGUAACAACUUAUUUCCUGUAGAAUUUAGGUAAAAUUUGAAAUCACAAGGUUCUCCACAAAUUACUGUCAAGCUUUGCACAAUAGAAUCAAGAUUAUGAGACCCCUGCUGUGGAUUUCAGAAGCAUCUCAUAGUUCCUUCAGCAGCAUAGAAGCUGGCAGAGGAAGAAAAUUAGACAAUGGACAGAGUGGCACCAAGAGGUUUUGAAGCAACAGAAAGAAGACCAGCUGAAGAACAAACACCUCCCAUGUGUACCUUCCCCUGAAAAAUCAGAUCAGCAUCAGAGGUCCUGUUCCGUAUCUUCUUGCUAUCUGAAGUUCAAUAGCUUCCAUUUUCUCGCGAAUCAUUGGUUGCUUAGGACUGAGCCUUGGUACGGUGCCUAAUGGCUGGGAUUCUGCUGUUCCUGCAUAAUCUUCCAUCUCGCCCCACAGGUGGAACACUGAGCAGUUUACAGAGAAAACAUUGGGGCCUACUAUUCAAAGAAGAAAAGUAACAAAAGAAAAUUACUACUGAUUGUACCCAAGCGACUGGAUAAAGUACCUCUUGGAUUCUGCCUAUAAACGCAUCUGAACCAUCUUGCAUUACAUUUAUUAAAUUAUGUUGGAUUUAUUGUCAUAAAAUAAAAGAACAUACUCAAACAAGUAACAUAAGGUGAAACUCACUGGGCAGAUGUUAAAUGUCAUUUGUACAGUUCUAGAGAAAUUAUACAGAAAAUUCAAUGAGUUGGGUAUAUUUUUAAAAAGAAAGCAGCAAGGCUAAUCACAUGCUAAAGGAGGCAACUAGGUCCUUGUGACUUUUUAUUGUAACUUUUGCAAAUGUUUGUUUUUAUAGUUAUAAGAAACUAAAAAUCAAAACAUUACCCAAAGGAAAAAAUAAAUGAAAAAGAGAAAGAAAUAAGUCUCUCCAAAUAGAGUGGUUAAACAAACCAUAUUGUGAGCAUGGUUGUUAAUCUUCUUCAAAUUAAUAACUGCAAAUAAUAUGUAACAUUUAGUUGGUUUAUUUGUUGUCUUUCCUCAUUCUUCUCCAUAAUUAAGACAAGUGCCCGGGUUAUUAGAAAAUAUGCAGCCUUCGCCAUGUCCACAGACAUCCUAAUGGAUGAGUGAUCUUUUCCAUUAUACCUACAACUCAUAUUCAGAGUAUCCGUUGCAGGGAUGUUUGUUUUAUUUUUCCAGCUAUGACUGAUUUGGGCUAUAGUUAAUAUGGAUUAUCAGUCCCUCAUGUUUGUUUCAUUGCUUGCAACUAUCAUCUAGGAAUAUAGGAAGGUGCCAUAUACUGAGUCAGACCAUUGGUCUAUCUAGCUCAGUAUUGUCUUCACAGACUGGCAGUGGCUUCUCCAAGGUUGCAGGCAGGAAUCGCUCUCAGCCCUAUCUUGGAGACGUCGGACGUAACCCCCCCCCCCAAUUACCUGAUGUGCCUUGAAAUCCCCCACCCCCGAGUUACAGUACUACCUGCAUAUACUUCAUAACCUUGUGGGUUUCCUAAUCAUUGUGUGUAAAUCUUUGUAGAUAUAUCAUGUACAAACAACCACUUUGUAUAUAAUUGUGCUUUGGCAACGUACUGUAUGCUUUGGUAGUUUGUUGGUUCAAUAAAAAAUCU